CGCUCAUUAGUGGAUUUCCUACUUACUUUGCUCAUUUGGGCAACUGUGAUUUUUUUUUUUCCUCAAAGAAGUAGUGCUACCCUGCUCUUCAGAGCUCUACCUCUUUCCCUGUGGUUCCUAUUCUGUUGCUCUGUUACUAUUUUAUGUUUAUACAUUGUGAUCUCUCUUACCGUUCUUCUGUCUGGAACAGUGGUUCGUAUCCUUUGGGUCACGACCCUUUUGGGGGUCAAAUGACCCUUUCUCAGGGGUCAUAGAUCAGAUAUCCUAUAUCAGAUAUAUCAUAUCCAUGUGAUAUGAGAUAUUCCCAUGAUGGUUCAUAACAAUAAUAUAAUUAUAGUUAAGAAGAAACCACUGGAAUAAUUUUAUGGCUGGGGGUCAUCACAGUACGUGGAAGUGUAUUAAAUAUCGCAGUGUUAGGAAGGUUGAGAACCACAGUCAAGACUCUGUGUCCAAAGACUAAAGCCGCAAUGAUAUGACUAUUUUCUGGAAUAACGGGCAUGCAUCAUGCAUGUAGAAGACAGGGAAAACUUGCAGAAAUCAGUUUUCCACCUCUGUGUUUUCGGGGAGCAAACUCAGAAGAUUACAAAGAGCCGUCAGCCUUGGGCAUACCCAGGAACCACAGGCAAGCUUUGACCGCAAGCAAAAAGCAGUAUCAGUUCCUUAUGCAUCUAAAUCAAUGAGCAGAGAGCAAUCAGAAUCAUCAGCAGGAAGCCUCACCUCUCUGUGAAUGGAUGGGCCAGUUCAAGCAGGACAGGUCCUGCAAUGUCUUGCCAGAAGAAGCAGGGCAGCCCGUGUGUUUUCAGCUCCUUCACGAACUUGACAUUUCUCAGAAUGAUGUGUCCGUUCUUUCGUAGAUAUUUUGCUUUCUACACAUAUAAAUCAGAUGACUCAAUUGUAAAAGUGAUGUGAUACACAAAAAUUUGGUUUUGACUCCUGUAUUUGCUGAUGACAAUGUCUAUUGAUAACCUUAGAAUAAGAUGAUUAUUUUAAAUUUUCUUUUACAAUUUAUGAGGAUAAAAAAUUUCAAUGACCGCCAAUGAAAUACUUUUUAUCCCAGGAGAUCGUUAACAGCUAAUAAGCAAACACCAGUCUAGUACAUACUGUGCUGUUUGAAAUGUAUGGUUAUUUUUGGCUCCGUUCUUGUAAACACAAUUUAGACUGUUUCUCAAUAUUCUAAACUAAAAUUCAGAAUACAAGUUCUAUAUUUCUUAGUAUUAUUAUUCAGGGAGAUAAAGAAGAAAUAACAUAUUUCUUAUAGUGGAAGGAUAAAAUAGAACAUGUAACUUUAACCUGACUCUAAAGUAGAAAAUACCUUUCUUAGCAUUAAAGACUGGAAGAUUUUAUAUAUAUAUAUAUAUAUAUAUAUAUAUAUAUAUAUAUAUAUAUAUAUGUGUGUGUGUGUGUGUGUGUGUGUGUGUAUUAUAUAUGUGUAUAUUGUAUAUAUAUUAUAUAUAUGCAUGUAUGUGUAUGUAUGUGUGUGCAUGUGUGUGUGUGUGUGUGUGUGUGUGUGUGUGUGUGUGUGUGUGUGUAUGUGUGCUUCAAACAGUGAGUUCCGAUAACACAUACUGUUUCUGUUUUCUAGUUUCAGGUUAUGUGACAGUCACAGGCACACUGAACUUUUAUUUCUGUAUUAAGUCCUACUGAGUAUUUUACCCAUGGUAUUGCUCAAAAAAGAAAACUUCUGUCAAACCCCCUCCAUAGAACUCACAAAUUCCCUUUGUUUUCAUAUAUUCCUAUGUUAACACGUAUGGCGGUUUGAAUGAAGAUGUCCCCAGAACUCUAAUUUCAAUGCACAUAACAGUGCGGAAAGACAGAGCAUUCUUGCUGAAGGUAGUAUGUCAUUGGGGACAAGCUAAGACCUCACCAUCCUUACAACUCUCUACCUUUGCUUGUAGUUGAAUAUACAAUCAUUCUGCUUCCUGUACAGCCAUGGUUGCCACAUGCCUCUAUAUUUCCAUGCCCUGAUGAAAUAUUAUCCCUCUAGAACCAUGAAUCAAAUGAACUCCUUUUUUCCCAAGUUGCUUUUGGUCAUGGUGUUUUGUCACAGCAAAUGAGAAGUUACCAGUACAGCAAGACUUGCAGACAAAGCUGGUUUCAUUGUGGUGAGUGAAACAUUACACUCAAGGUAUGACUUGCCACAAGUCAUGCUGUUCACAGGCCAGGUUUGAUGAUGUCAAAGCAAGAAUAAUAAUUUUAUAUAGAAUAAAGAGAAAUACUUCAAAACAAUAAUGUAACCUUCCACAAUCAUGAAGAUGGCAAGGUCCACAAUCAUGAAGAUAUCAAGGUGGCUAUGUCAUUUUUUUAGUGCAUGCAAUCAAACAUGUGAGUGAGGGUAGGUCGGCAUUUGGAAGAAAAGUAAUUGGACAAUACGGUUAAAUCUUUGUUAUAUUCCCUAGCUUGACUCAAAUCUCUUGAAAGACAAUAAGAAGAAUUUAAAUGCCUUUUUGAUGCACAAGAGAAAACAAAACACAGUACGUAUUAUAACUCUUUUAGAAGUGCCACUGGUUUAUAGAGGACAGAUUCAGAUUUGUGCCUACUGCUUAGUUUGGUCUUCAUUGUUCUUCGUGGUGAACUGUGUAUUUGUCAUGGGCCCUCUAAUGAACACAUCAGCUCCUGUGAGUCUCAGCCCGGGGCAGACAGUUCAAGGGUAAUUGUGUAUCUCAGGCAAGCGGCUGGUUAAUGGCAGAGCACCUGAGUGGAAAGGCCUUGAGAGCAGAUACUUCAGAGUAUGGUGAGGACCACUUUCUUUCUGCUUCACUCUUUCUGGAAAACCUCUUUUCCUUGUGAAGCACCAGUGGCAAAUGCAGUCUUUAUUUUAUCAACAGAGGCAGGAUGUGCUUCCGCACCCUCAGGGAUAGAAAAUUACUCGGUAACACGGGAGGAUUCAUAAUUUUAAGCACACUGUUUUAUGGGCUCUUGGUUUAUUUAGAAUUGCAGUUAAUUCCGGUUAAUAAAUAGUGCACCUAUAGUUUGACUCUGCACUAUAUUUUAGAAAUUAAGAGACUGUCAUUUCUAGUCUGGACAGAAAUGGUGACAAAGCUUGAGCAUUGAUUGGACAAAGGUUCAGAAAGUACAAGUAAAAAGCUUGUUUGGUUUUUUGUUGUUGUUGUUGUUGUUGUUGUUGUUUCAUUUAAGAAAAAUUAUUUUUGGUUGUUGUUUCAUUUAAAAGAAAUUAUGUCCCUUCUUUCCCAUUUGAAAGAAACCCAGAUUUUUAUCAGCUUCAAGCUUAAAGUUCCUGGAAAAUCUGCCAAUCAUUUUUUACCAGGGCCAAGUAUUUUCUAGUGCUACUGCUCGGAGAGCUCCCACAGCACAAGUCUGCUCCAUUCUUGAUAUCAUUCAGGUUUUAAUCCUCUUUUGAUAUUGUGCAUGAACAGAAUGGUGUUUGUAGAAAUCAACCCUGGGAAGGUCUGUUUAUAACUCACGCUGAGGAGCAUAAUUGAGCUCAGCUUCUCAAAGCCCUAAUUAUAUAAAUCCAAUGUCCCUGUAGCUUGGAGAAUGUGGAAUUCUGAAUCUACAAUGUUUCACCAGGAAGGUAGGUAUUUUAUUUGCAGUUAAAUCCUGAUGAGAACUGUGUAUAUUCUUUUCAUUGUACUUAGAAGGAAUGCUAUGAGACCUUCAAUGCAAAUUAUAUGCAUAUGUAGUAUAUGCAUAUUUGCAUAUGUAUACAUCGGUCAAAUUAGGGUUUAAAAUAUUUAUUUUAAUUUCUAUUUUCCACUUGUGUAGGUUUCUGUACAUGUAUUUAUGUCCUUGUGAGGGUGAGUGCCCACAGAAGCCAGAAGAAGGCAUCAUGUGCUAUGGAGCUGGAGUUUCAGGGAGAGGGACACAGUGCAAGGACCCAAGUGUGGGUCCUCUGAAGGGAGAAUACAUGCUUUCAACUGCUAAACCAUCUGUCUGGCCCAAAACUAGGCUUAAGCACAGAAUAUAUAAGUUUCGUCAAAUAAAAUUUAUGGCACUAACAAUAAUGUUUUGAACAACAAACACUAAAAAUGUUUAAUCUUCUGACUUUUUAUUUGUUCUUUUAUUAAUUUGUUUUCUUGACUGUGCAUUUAAAAAUACUUCAGACAGCUAUUGCUAAGUUAUAUUUCGGGAGCCUUAACUGACUAGUAUGUGUUUUCCAAAAAGAGCUUGUUCUAUGUAACAUUUCCCUCGUUCCUGGGAAUUUUUUUUCCAAAUGUUAAACAGGACACAGUGAAACCACUGAACUGACUCCAUGUGUAAAAAGGUGAAGUUUGUUCAAACUACGAGGACUAUCUCCAAUGGAUAUAGGAUAUGGAUUGGGGUGCUGAACAGCAGAGAGAUUCGCUGUGGUGUGAGGUGGACAAGUUUUGUGGAACAGCCUGCGAACCAGUAUGGGGCUGCAAUCUGCUGGAGGUUUAUAGGAAUCUAGAUCUUUCAUGGCAUAAAUAUUUUCAUUCUCAAGUUAAAUUCCAAUGUGGAUUGUCUGAAACCAAAGAAAAUUACUGUUUUGAUAACAAAAAAAAUCCACAAUUGAUGAAUAAUUCUGACUUCAAGUAUCAUUUGUCUCAAGUGGUUAUCAAUUCAUGUCUGCCUACAUGGUUUUCAGAUUAAAUUUAUAGCCAUAAAAGAGAAAGUUUUUAAAAGAAAUAAUCUAAUAAGCCCUAGCCUUAUAUAGAGAUAGCCUGAGCAGUAGGAAGUGUAGACUUGGCUGAAGGUCUACUAAGACUGGCAGAAAUGGUUUGGUUUUCUUUCAGUGGCAGACUUUUAGGUUGGAUCUCAUAGUCUAUGCAUCCAAUUAUAUUCAUGAAUAUAAUAUACAUUAUAGGAGCUAUAAAAUAGAAGAAAUUAAUUUGUUUCUAGUUUCCAAAUGUGAAAUAGGCUUUGUCAGGAGCCAUCUAGGAAACGAUAAAGGCAUACGAGUGACCGUUUUGUUUAUGGCCCAUCAUUUUGCCCGGCUGUGAUGGGUAAACUGAAUUGUAGAGGUUACAGAGAUCUCACUUUCGGAUUGAUUCUUGUUGUUGAUGUGUCUUUCCUUUCAUUAUUGUAUAUUUUAAUGAUUUCUUGGAAUUAGCCCACCCUAUUGGGCAGAUUUUCUAUGAUCAACAAAGAUGUCUUCUCUUUUAGUAAUGCUUUAUAGACAAAUUGAUGAUUUCAUAAUUCCUAAUAAUGAUUCUAUCGAAUUUUGAAAAUUGUACAAAUAAUUGUAUAGUAUGAAUACUGACUGCAAUUGGUGCUUCAUCAAACUUCAUGUUUCAUAGGUUAAUUGCACUAGGAUAAGAAAGCAAGCUUGGAACAAAUUUACAAUCAGGAAAAACAUUCCUUCUAGGCUAGCGGUGAAACCAUUUUCUGAUAACUAAAAGGUCAUAAACUGGGAACGAACAACUUAUUGCAAGUGAAAGGACAGAAAAUAAAGUAUUGACUAAAUUUAUCUAUACAGAACUUCAAAUGUAAUAAGACACAAGGCAGAUGAUUUGCCUCUCGACAAAACUGUGCUAACUUACGACAUACGAAUUACUUGCUUUAAACAUUUAAUGAAAGUAUAGACUAGAAGAUUGAUUAUGAAUGUUUACUUAGGUACCAAUCUUGAUGGAAACACAUGUAAACAUUUCUGCUGUAACACUUUGUUUGACUUAUGAUUUUAAUUUAUGUUUUAAACUAGCUAUGAACUUUUCAAAAGACGAUGGUUGGAAAACCAUGUGAUCACUUAUCCUUAGACAGAAUAAGAACUAAGAAUAUCAAGGAGAAGGCAUUUGCUUCAGCAAUAAAAGUGGAAAGGACUUCUUUUUUCUGUCACCAAUAGAGAUACAGAGCUCCCCCCCCUUAUUUAGUGACUUUUCAUUUUGUAGUAAUGAAAAG
Molecule: non-coding RNA, 5814 nt
Organism: Rattus norvegicus (Norway rat)
Lineage: Eukaryota; Metazoa; Chordata; Mammalia; Rodentia; Muridae
Source: RefSeq, a predicted model, not a curated record